GGUUCCCCGGCCGACAACGCGGAUACGCUGGAAGUGGCUGAUGAAAUUUUACAAGUUAACGGUAGCACGUUGGAAAAUGCCAGUCAAUCCGAAGUUAUUCAAUACAUAUAUCAGUGUAUCGAGUCUCGAACGAUAUGUCUGCGAGUGCGGAGGAGGAGCGGAAACAAGAUGGAAUAUUCCUGUGCGGAUGCUCGUCCAACUCGAGGGGAAUCGAUGGGCAAAAGUUCGUGGUCGACGAGUCCGUGGUCGAGGAUGGGCCAAAGUCGAUCGAAUUCUCGGCGAGCGACGAGCAUCUGGACGAGGACGUAGCGACGCACUUCGACCUGUCCACCAUCAAGUUCAUAGACGAGGAGGAGGAGGAGACGGAUGACGAUGAGGUGGCGGUCUUUGAAAAUGUAGAGCUGGACGGGUUCAACGCUGGUCGGGUUCGAGAAGCUUGGGUCAUCGCCGUCGAAAGGCGUGCAAAGGAACGAUUACAGCGGCUGGCAUCUCACUGGAGAAUCCAACCGCGGGAUAUCCAAGCGAUUCUGCACCAGCAGAUCAACGAGGCAGUCGCGUCGACGAGCGGGGACAGCGCGGGCAAAAAUGUGACGGGCAACCAAAUUACCGUGACGCUUGCCGACAAGGAGCCGAGCACGAAUGUCUUCACCACUAAGCUCAGCAACGGUAGCAUUCCUAAGGGGUUAGGGAAAGACGCGAAGGAAAUUCGAGGAGCGAAGGAGGAAAGAACGGAGAAACAACAACAACAACAACAACAACAACAGAGCUGUUCAACAGAGGAGACGAAACUUUUGACACCGGUGCAAGGCGGAAGAGUCGGGGAACGGCGUGCCAGCAGCCCUUUCCAAAAUGGUCAGACAGAAGUCCUGAUCGGAGAAGUGGAGGGCGGCCCAAGGUCGCCGCGGGGAUCCACGUCUUCGGCGGUGAACGACGCCAAUUUCCUGGGUCCACCGGAUGAACGUGACGGAAACAAGCCCAUUUGCAGGUCCCGAAGGCGUAGCGGCAGUGGCUUGACGGACACACACUCGCAGCAGCAGCAACAGCAGCAGCAACAGCAAGUGCAGGAGAACAACAACACCAGCUCGAAGAAGGGGCAGGAAGGGUUGGGCCCGGAUGAGAUGUGGGCCCCUGGCGGGCUAGGGCCUCAUCGGGAGCUACCAGUCGACGUGCCCGACACCCUUCUUCAAAAGGCCUAUCCCAACAAGGUAAACAGCCGCUCGUCCGAUUUCAGGAACGAGCUUCUUCGUUCUCCUCCCCGUAGCGCUAGCGACCUCGACCUCUCCCUAAACCUUAAAAACGACACCCUUAAAAAAUCGCCGCCGCCGCCGCCUCCGCCUCCGCCGCCGCCGCCUCCACGCAUCAACAACCUAGACAACCGCGCUAGAAUCGAUCCGAACAGCGAACCGGCCAUCCGGAACGGUCAGCCGCCGAUGCUCAAGAUCGAGCUGAAGAUCGAGAACCGCCUCGAGGACGAGGAGGAGAGAAUCCGGAAGGAGGUGGGCAGGUACGAUACAACUACCGGUUUUAAACCUCCUUUCAAAGAUUUCGAGGACGAGGAGGUGGAUCAAGAGGAGGACGAGGGGGUGAACGAGGAGGAAGAGGAAGAGGACAAUACGGGGGUAACGGAAGGGCAGAAGGAGUCGAGCGUCGAUCUCGACGUGGAGGAGGAUUAUCCGUUCGCGAAGGAGGAUUAUCCGACCAUGUUGAAGACGUGCAGCGACGACUCGGCCAGCCCGAGAAGCUCCUCCGGCAGAUCGGACAGCACCGCCCCCCUCGACACCAGCCUGGUGUUGAGACACGCGAAGACACGUGGCAAAGGCUCGCCCACCUACGACGCCAGGCGGAUAGAUCUCGGCUCCCCUUGCCGGGGACCCGUCGUCCCGGAGAUCAAGGUGGCGCCACUCUACCAGAGGGCCGCAACGAACACCGCCGCCGCCACCAACAACAACACCAACGCCAGUACCAACACCAACACAAACACCACCACCUCGUUCGACAAUCCCGCCUACGGCUUGGCCGAUCUUCAGGAUCUCCAAGGAUUUUUGAUGAGAUCGGACGAGGUGUCCGACCUGACUCGAUUGAUCGACGCCGAGCAAUGCCCCACCAUUCCACGAAUACCACGUGCCACCGAGCAAGACGUUGUUGCUUCCCUGUCCAGUCCCUCUCGCGGCAAACAGGAUAAGUUAAAAUCGGAAACGAGUAGUUGCCCGUCGGUCGUUUCGAGCAGCAAAUCGACGGUUGGUAAGAAGCAGCAGCAAUCGUCGUCGAGCGGUGGUCACCAUCAGCAUCAUCACCAGCACCAUCACCACCACCAUCACCACCAUCACCAUCAUCAUCAUCGGUCGAAACAGAAGGGGGGGAGAGGCGUGGAAGCGGAGGAGUCGCUGAUACGCGCGGGCUCGAGCGACGACUUAGCCGGUAUCGAGUCGGGCAGCAGCCUCUCCUCGUCCUCGAGGCGGCAGCACCAGCAGCAACCGCAACAACAGCAGCGGCCGAAGAAGAAGAGGCAUCAACAAAUCUCGAGCGGCUACUCGACCCUGAGGAGCGACGCGUCCACCGUCGAUCUCGAGCACGUGGACCGUGGUAGCUUCCUGGUGGUCGGCGGCAAAGCCUACCGCGAGGUGGCCGUCGACUGCCCCCCCGACUUCGUCCCCGUCGCCAAACGCCACCCCGUCUAUCCCCCGCCGAACAAGAACGGGAACAAGAGCGCGUCGCUGUCACGAAACCCGAAACGUGACGGCGGUGGUGGUAGUGGUGGUGGUGGUGGUAGUGAUGGUAGCAAUAACAAUAAUAAUAAAGUGGUAGCGAACGGGGACGAAGGGGGGGCGGGUAUCGUGCGCGCAAAGUACGAUCGUAGUAGUAGGUUUCAACUCGGUGGCAAGCCUGUUACGGAUCUCGUACCAGGAACGCCCGUACUCGGCCCCUCCUCGAACAAGGUAAGAAGGUCCAAAGUGAAGUGUAUGCUUUUCCAACGCUUUCUCUGCACCCUCGUCGCCACGCAUCACCCCGCACCGCGCUGCACGCUUCCGCACGCAACCACGCCUCGCGCCACUAAUCAUCACUCUUGCUCUAACCGCUCGAAAAUGGUGGACCGGGGGGAGGGAGAUGAGGAGGAGGAGCAGGAGGAGGAGGAGUACGAUUCGUGGUCGGUCCACUCCUCUCCCCGCCUCGACGACACCAAUAAUUCUUGCGAAGAAAACGUUGUCCGUUUUUCGAACGGGGCGGAGGGGAAGGAGGGGAGGCUCUCCUUCCUCCUCGCCGCGAAUAAGCGAUCGGCUCGAGGAAGAGGAGGAGAAGAAGGUGGAAGAGGAAGUAGAAGUAGAGAAACGGACGAGAAUUGUCGCAAUUCGUUGCGCGAGUCGUCUCUCGCGCAUGCGCAAAACAGGACCAACUCGAGGCUGUCGCUCGAGUAUCACGGGCUCGAUUCCAAGCUCGAUCUCGAGGCGAUCUCCUUAUUCGAUCUUGGUGGAUCGAGCCGCGUGCUCGAAUUCGCCGAGUCGAGUUUGAUCUCGCGGUCAAACUCGUGGGAAAACUCGGAGGGAAGGAGGGAAGAGAAGGAGGGGGGGACGCCGGAUCGGGAGAGAAGGAGGAUAAUACGUACGUACGCUUCGCGCCAUCGCUACGAUCAUCAUCAUCAUCAUCAUCAGCUUGCCGAGGUAAAUCAGACCGGUCUGAACGGGGUGAAACCUGCCAUCCCCCCGAGAGAUCAAAAGAGGGCACCUGCCAGACCGCCGAAAGAUAACCUACGUUUGUCCACGCAGAACAAUAACGUGGACAGCACCGAUAACGCGAAUGCCGAGCCUACGCAGCAACAACUGCAUUCCAUCAGAAAAUACCAGGAGCAGCUACGUAAACGAAAGGAUGAGGAGGAGAGGCAGGAGAUACUCAAUCGAUCGUUACGCGGAUCGAAGAAGCUGCAAGCUCUGGAGAGCCACGCGACCAGCCUCUCGGGCCAAGAAAAUCUCGCAUACACGCAGGACGAGGUGACCACCGUCGGCCGUCCAACGCACGUCACCGCGCAAGAAGUAGAGGAGCCUCCCAGGCCCCUCACGUACGGAGAGGUCGUCGCGACGUUGGAGAGGCUACAGCUUCAGUUGCGCAAUAUUUCCGGUGCUCUAGGCAUUUCGGGGCCGGGUGUCGAAGCCGAACUCGAAGCGGUGCGAACUCUUCUGGUGCAAAGUCGAUUCGCAUCUGCCCUCGCCACCCACCACAUCCUCAGAAAUCGUUUAAGAUCGAACAAAGUUUUGAAACAUCACACCGAGGACGCCUCCACUUUGGCACGAGACUGUGUGGACAUUCUCGAGAAAUGGCAGUCCUCGUCGACAGCAACAGGUGUCGGUGGAGCGGAAACGAUCGCCGCCGUCGAGGAACUGACAGGAAUUUUGACGAGCUACGACAUGGAGGCCCUCCUCCUCACCCACGACUCCAUCAUCUCGUACGUGGAUGGACUGCAGAGGAAACAGAGUCCCUCGUCCUCGUCGCCGAGCGGUCCACCGAGCCCCACUUCCAGCUGGAGAGGCUCACGGGUCGUGGACAACAUUAAAAUUAUCAGAAUCGAGAAAACUAACGAGCCUCUUGGUGCUACGGUCAGGAACGAGGGUGACGCGGUUAUAAUAGGGCGUGUCGUGAGAGGAGGCGCGGCCGACAAGUCCGGACUUUUGCACGAAGGGGACGAGGUUCUCGAGGUGAAUGGCGUGGAGAUGCGUGGCAAAAGCGUGAACGAAGUGUGCGAUAUUCUGGCUGGUAUGCAGGGCAGUCUAACCUUCCUCGUGCUCCCGGCACCCACGAGUCACAGGAACAAUUUGUCGAAUAGAAGGGAAGAUACGAAUCAGAUACAACACAUACGGGCCCACUUUGAUUACGACCCCGAGGAAGAUCCUUAUAUACCGUGCCGAGAAUUGGGUGUCAGUUUUCAAAAGGGUGAUGUGUUGCACGUGAUCUCUCAAGAGGAUCCCAAUUGGUGGCAAGCGUAUCGAGAGGGUGAAGAGGAUCAAACUCUGGCUGGUUUGAUACCAAGCAAAGCCUUUCAGCAUCAGCGAGAAUCAAUGAAGCAAACUAUCGCUGGUGAUAAAUCGACGGUACGCGGUUCUAAGAAAUCCAGUACGUUGUUGUGCGCUAGAAAGAAUCCAAAGAAAAAGAAACGGAACAAGUUUGGGGCAAACUACAACGACGACGGGUAUCCGCAUUACGCAACGACUGCCAUCGACGAUUACGACAGCGAGGAGGUACUUACUUACGAGGAAGUCGCGUUGUACUAUCCUAGGGCGAAUCACAAAAGACCGAUAGUCCUGAUAGGGCCACCAAAUAUCGGGCGACACGAGUUGAGACAAAGGUUGAUGCACGACAGCGAGCGUUUCGCGGCUGCUAUUCCUCACACGAGUCGUCCAAGAAAGGACUCGGAAGUGGACGGACAGGAUUACCAUUUCAUUUCUCGUUCUCAAUUCGAAUCCGAUAUACUUUGUCGAAAGUUCGUCGAACACGGCGAAUACGAGAAAGCUUAUUACGGCACCUCCGUCGAGGCUAUACGAUCCGUAGUUAACUCUGGUAAAAUCUGUGUUCUUAAUCUCCAUCCGCAGAGUCUGAAGAUCCUGCGAAACUCGGACUUGAAACCGUACGUGGUAUUCGUCGCGCCGCCAAGUUUGGAGAAACUUCGCCAAAAAAGGAUCAAGAAUAACGAGAGCUUCAAGGAGGAGGAAUUGAAGGAUAUUAUAGAGAAAGCACGGGAAAUGGAGGAUAAAUACGGGCAUCUGUUCGACAUGAUCAUCAUAAACACAGAUACGGAUAGAGCGUACAAUCAGCUGCUGACGGAGAUUAAUUCGUUGGAAAGGGAGCCUCAAUGGGUGCCUGCUUCUUGGGUUCAGUAAAAAGAAAAAAAAAAAAAAAAAAGAAAAGAAAAGAAAAUGGAACGGAGCAAAGUUUUUUUUUCGUAACACCAAGCCAAAUUUCGCUGAGACAGCGGAAAGGCCAGUAAUCGAGAGAGGCGGGUUUAAAGUCUGAUUUGGAAAAAAGUCACUUUCCAAGGACUGGUUCUUUUACUGGUGCCUGUUAUACAUUUUAACGUUUCGUACACGCGCGUUAAUUAAACGAUUCCUUGCCAGGCUAUCGUACUCCAAGUACCGCUGGUUUCGUGUAGUCUUCCGUGUCGUAUAUAUGGUGCCAUCUGAAUAUUCGAAGAUCGUCGUCAGCAAGAUCACUGUACAAAGAGCGUCGAAAAUUCGCGUGAUUUCUCGUUCCUUGAUUUACGUAUUCGAGCGGGAUUCUUGACGUUUAAAAACGAAUCUCGAGGAAUCGUUGGAUCAUGACGCUCGUUUUUCACCGUAUCAGCCGUAAUAAACGCUCUGGUUUUUCCCGAGGAUUUUACUCUGCAUAAUUUAUACCGACGAGACGUCCCGGGAAAAAAGUUGCUACUACUUUUGCGCAUAAGAUAUAUUACGUAUAAUAUUUUCCCAAAGAUGUGUGAACUUGAAAGAGAUCAUUCUUCUCUUCUCUUUAAAAAUCACCAGAUUUCUCCAGAAUACACCGAGCCCUGAAAGGAAAAAGAAAAGCAAAAAACGAAAAAAAAAAAAAAAAAAACGGAAAACGCGAAAAUCUUAAAUCUUACGAGAGCAGCCUUUUACCUCGCAAAGACUCGAAAGACUUUUCGCGUUGUUCACAAUUUUCACGAUAAUCCUCCUCCUCCUCCUAAGGAGAGCGCGUCCCUAUCGCUGAGUUUUUUAAGUACAAAAAAAAAAAAAAAAAAAAGAAAAAAGAAAAAAAAAAAGAAAAGAAAGAAAGGAAAGAAAUAUUUCGCAAGACUUUGCAAGUUGUUAACCACGUAAACCACGUUUCCUCGUAUUCGUAAUUUUUGUGUGAAACUAGUAAUUUCGAAGAAGGCGGAACUCAUAAACGUUUCAUCGUUCACUCUAGGCAAUCUCUUUCUCUCGUGUUUAUUUAGAGGAAAGAACCAUAACUUCUAAUCCAAGUAGACCUCGUUAAUACAAUAUAGACUUAGGCUCGUGUGUAAACCAGCGUAAACGAAUUUUUAAGACACUUUGGAAAGAAACAAAUUUUUUUUCUCUCUCUCUUUUUUUUUUCCUGCCCCUCUUAUUUUUGCCUUUGAAAAACCGUUUUUUUUUCUUUUUUUUCUGUCCAGUAUCAAACUUUCAUAUCAGCCAUGUAUCCAUAUACCACCUUCUUUACUCGAUUAGCAAUAACAACACAGGAUGUUUUUCGAAUCGAAAAUCCUCGCAAAAACAAAAAAUAUGAUAUCGUGACUCCUAAACGAAAAGAGAAAAAUUAAAAAAGAAAAAAAAAUCGACGAUCGAUCGUUUUUAGUUGAGGAAAGAAAUUUUCUCAAGAGUAGUUUCAUUCGUUGAUGUCGUAAACCCAGCUAGAAGCGAAAGAUUGUUUCCAGUGAGAGAAACGUGAAAAAAAAAAAUACUAAUUGCUACCUUUUUAGUCCACUAUUUAAGAAGUUACGUUAAGAAAUCACGCACGAUGGUCGGAGUAUUGUGCCAAGUAAUUAGACCGCGUGUCGAAGAGAACGUGAAAUGUGCCAAAAUAUUUGAAGAAAAAGAAAGAGAAAGAAAAAAAGAGACGGAAUGUGAGAGGGGCAAAGGAGGGAAAAAGGAAAAGAAGAAAUACUUGGGAAACACGCUCAACGGCACUUUCGUGUAUUUGUCGUUAUAUUAAUUCUGUAAAUAUUUAUGCACUUGUAUAGAACAAAAAAGAUGAAUGAAUAAGAAGUUAUUAUCGUUAUUAUCGUUAUUAUUAUUAUUAUUAUUAUUAUUAUUAAUAUUAUUAAUUGUAUUAAUUAUUAUUAUCAUUAUCGCUUCGAUUAUCCUCGUUAUUACUCGUCAUCGUUAUCAACCGUACUCUUAUUUUCGACCGAUUGAAACACAACAAGGUUAAAUAACGCGAACGAAGUUGGACCCGUGCUCGAGUACAGCAUCAUUAAUGAAUCAUUAAUGAUUAAAAACCCAUUUAAAAUUUCCCUAAGUAAUGCGUUAACAGCACGCGCAAUGUACAGAAAGUCUGAUCCUUUACAGGAAUGAUGCCUGUUCGAAGUGUGUAUACGCUAUAUUAUUGCGAGUAUUUUUUUCGACAAUCCUAUUUGAUUUUAUGUGUACAAAAUAAAACGUACAACUUCAAAGAGGAAAAAUGUAUGUAUAGGUGCAUAUACUUUGUAUAUACGUAUACAGUACGCACACAUGUAUCGCGAAGAAUCGAAGGAGAAACGAAUAUCAAAAACCGACCAUUGUUGUUAUCACGAGUUAGCUAUUUUUAUGCCUUCCGUUUACAUCCAACCGUUCUUCCCUUCAAACCUGUGUGAAAGUGUACGAAAGUGAAAGAAAGUUCAAAACGAAUUAUACGAAGUA
Molecule: unclassified non-coding RNA, 8357 nt
Filed under: Apis florea (little honeybee)
Lineage: Eukaryota; Metazoa; Arthropoda; Insecta; Hymenoptera; Apidae
Description: uncharacterized LOC100864987, transcript variant X7
Source: RNAcentral